Molecule: ribosomal RNA, 253 nt
Filed under: uncultured bacterium
Lineage: Bacteria
Description: partial 16S ribosomal RNA
Rfam family: Bacterial small subunit ribosomal RNA
Source: RNAcentral
UACGGAGGGUGCAAACGUUGCUCGGAAUUAUUGGGCGUAAAGCGCACGUAGGCGGUCCAGCAAGUCGGGUGUGAAAGCCCUCGGCUUAACCGAGGAAGUGCAUUCGAAACUACUGGACUUGAAUACUGGAGAGGAUUGCGGAAUUCCCGGUGUAGAGGUGAAAUUCGUAGAUAUCGGGAGGAACACCAGUGGCGAAGGCGGCAAUCUGGACAGAUAUUGACGCUGAGGUGCGAAAGUGUGGGGAUCAAACAGG